UUGCCUACGGGGGGCAGCAGUGGGGAAUAUUGCACAAUGGGGGAAACCCUGAUGCAGCGACGCCGCGUGAGUGAAGAAGUAUUUCGGUAUGUAAAGCUCUAUCAGCAGGGAAGAAAAAAGACGGUACCUGACUAAGAAGCCCCGGCUAACUACGUGCCAGCAGCCGCGGUAAUACGUAGGGGGCAAGCGUUAUCCGGAUUUACUGGGUGUAAAGGGAGCGUAGACGGCGCGGCAAGUCUGAAGUGAAAGGCAGGGGCUUAAC
Molecule: ribosomal RNA, 262 nt
Filed under: uncultured bacterium
Lineage: Bacteria
Description: partial 16S ribosomal RNA
Rfam family: Bacterial small subunit ribosomal RNA
Source: RNAcentral